CCUACGGGCGGCAGCAGUAGGGAAUCUUCCACAAUGGACGAAAGUCUGAUGGAGCAACGCCGCGUGAGUGAAGAAGGGUUUCGGCUCGUAAAGCUCUGUUGGUAGUGAAGAAAGAUAGAGGUAGUAACUGGCCUUUAUUUGACGGUAAUUACUUAGAAAGUCACGGCUAACUACGUGCCAGCAGCCGCGGUAAUACGUAGGUGGCAAGCGUUGUCCGGAUUUAUUGGGCGUAAGGCGAGUGCAGGCGGUUCAAUAAGUCUGAUGUGAAAGCCUUCGGCUCAACCGGAGAAUUGCAUCAGAAACUGUUGAACUGGAGUGCAGAAGAGGAGAGUGGAACUCCAUGUGUAGCGGUGGAAUGCGUAGAUAGAUGGAAGAACACCAGUGGCGAAGGCGGCUCUCUGGUCUGCAACUGACGCUGAGGCUCGAAAGCAUGGGUAGCGAACAGGAUUAGAUACCCCUGUAGUC
RNAcentral lists this ribosomal RNA (465 nucleotides) under uncultured bacterium. RNAcentral describes it as "partial 16S ribosomal RNA". It matches the Rfam family "Bacterial small subunit ribosomal RNA", at positions 338 to 795 of the family's 1533-position model. The record is from RNAcentral.